AUUGAACGCUGGCGGCAGGCCUAACACAUGCAAGUCGAGCGGUAACACAGGGAGCUUGCUCCUGGGUGACGAGCGGCGGACGGGUGAGUAAUGUCUGGGAAACUGCCUGAUGGAGGGGGAUAACUACUGGAAACGGUAGCUAAUACCGCAUAACGUCGCAAGACCAAAGAGGGGGACCUUCGGGCCUCUUGCCAUCAGAUGUGCCCAGAUGGGAUUAGCUAGUAGGUGGGGUAACGGCUCACCUAGGCGACGAUCCCUAGCUGGUCCGAGAGGAUGACCAGCCACACUGGAACUGAGACACGGUCCAGACUCCUACGGGAGGCAGCAGUGGGGAAUAUUGCACAAUGGGCGAAAGCCUGAUGCAGCCAUGCCGCGUGUAUGAAGAAGGCCUUCGGGUUGUAAAGUACUUUCAGCGGGGAGGAAGGCGUUGAGGUUAAUAACCUCAGCGAUUGACGUUACCCGCAGAAGAAGCACCGGCUAACUCCGUGCCAGCCGCCGCCGUAA
This 504-nucleotide ribosomal RNA is filed under the name uncultured bacterium. RNAcentral's name for it is "partial 16S ribosomal RNA". It matches the Rfam family "Bacterial small subunit ribosomal RNA", at positions 30 to 523 of the family's 1533-position model. The record is from RNAcentral.